This 519-nucleotide ribosomal RNA is filed under the name uncultured Glomeromycotina. RNAcentral's name for it is "SSU rRNA". It matches the Rfam family "Eukaryotic small subunit ribosomal RNA", at positions 569 to 1092 of the family's 1831-position model. The record is from RNAcentral. Lineage: Eukaryota; Fungi; Glomeromycota.
CGCAGCCGCGGUAAUUCCAGCUCCAAUAGCGUAUAUUAAAGUUGUUGCAGUUAAAAAGCUCGUAGUUGAAUUUUGGAUUCUGCCAGUUGGUCCAUCUUUUGAUGAGUACUGAUUGUGUGGGGUCUAUCCGCCUGGUGAUACGUAAUGUACUUUAUUGUAUGUUGCGGGUAGUCAGGACCUUUACCUUGAAAAAUUAGAGUGUUUAAAGCAGGCUUAUGCCGGAAUACAUUAGCAUGGAAUAAUAGAAUAGGACGAUGUUGUUUUAUUUUGUUGGUUUCUAGGACAACCGUAAUGAUUAAUAGGGAUAGUUGGGGGCAUUAGUAUUCAAUUGUCAGAGGUGAAAUUCUUGGAUUUAUUGAAGACUAACUACUGCGAAAGCAUUUGCCAAGGAUGUUUUCAUUAAUCAAGAACGAAAGUUAGGGGAUCGAAGACAAUCAGAUACCGUCGUAGUCUUAACCAUAAACUAUGCCGACUAGGGAUCGGGCGAUGUUGUUUCAAUGACUCGCUCGGCACCUUAUA